GGUCUUUACCAUAGGUUCAGGUCUCUGCGGUGCAUAUUUUGCACCAUAUAAAGUCUUACAACCUUUGAUAGCCGUCAAGUCAUCCGAUCAUAUAGAUGGAAGGCUAUCACAUAAGGUUUUUUGUCAUACACGUACGUACGACGUAUCGCUAUGGGAUGUUUAGCAGUAGUUCUUCGUGAUUGGAUGAUAUGGUGAUCAGCAAAGGUUGUACAAUUUUUUGUUUACAAAAUAUGCAUUAUGGAGGAUUCUGACUCCUAC
Molecule: long non-coding RNA, 258 nt
Filed under: Elaeis guineensis (African oil palm)
Lineage: Eukaryota; Viridiplantae; Streptophyta; Magnoliopsida; Arecales; Arecaceae
Description: long non-coding RNA (EGUI_LNC020915)
Source: RNAcentral